GGAUCCUCGGUUCCCCCUUUCCGGAGGGGGAUCAAAAGGGAAGCUGGGUGCAAAUCCCACACAGUCCCGCUGCCGUAAGGAGGAGCCCCGCCGCAUGAUGUCACUGGGAAACCGGGAAGGCGCGGUAGGGGCCAUGAAUCCAAGUCGGAAUACCUGCCGGGGAUC
This 165-nucleotide non-coding RNA is filed under the name chicken gut metagenome. The record is from RNAcentral.